RNAcentral lists this ribosomal RNA (431 nucleotides) under uncultured bacterium. RNAcentral describes it as "partial 16S ribosomal RNA". It matches the Rfam family "Bacterial small subunit ribosomal RNA", at positions 29 to 526 of the family's 1533-position model. The record is from RNAcentral.
AGUGAACGCUGGCGGCGUGCCUAAUACAUGCAAGUCGAACGAAGUGGCGCACGGGUGAGUAAUAUAUAGUUAAUCUGCCCUACACAGAGGAACAACAGUUGGAAACGACUGCUAAUACCUCAUAGUGUCGGAUGAGACUAUAUCGUAUCAGCUAGUUGGUAAGGUAAUGGCUGACCAAGGCGAUGACGCGUAACGGGUCUGAGAGGAUGAUCAGUCACAUUGGAACUGAGAAACGGUCCAAACGCCUACGGGAGGCAGCAGUAAGGAAUAUUGCGCAAUGGGGGAAACCCGGACGCAGAAAUGCCGCGUGAGGGAAGAAGGUUUGCGGAUAGUAAAACGCUGUUGUUAGAGAAGCGUUAGUAACUGAACGUCCCCUGACGUUAUCUAACCAGAAAGCCACGGUAACUACGUGCCAGCAGCCGCGGUAAUAC